RNAcentral lists this transfer RNA (64 nucleotides) under Ictidomys tridecemlineatus (thirteen-lined ground squirrel). RNAcentral's name for it is "Spermophilus tridecemlineatus (thirteen-lined ground squirrel) tRNA". It matches the Rfam family "tRNA". Rfam says of the family: Transfer RNA (tRNA) molecules are approximately 80 nucleotides in length. Their secondary structure includes four short double-helical elements and three loops (D, anti-codon, and T loops). Lineage: Eukaryota; Metazoa; Chordata; Mammalia; Rodentia; Sciuridae. The record is from Rfam by way of RNAcentral.
GGUAGCUCAGUGGUGGAGCACUUGCCUAUCAUGUGUGGGGCCCUGGGUUCAAUUCCCAGUGCCA